Molecule: non-coding RNA, 22 nt
Filed under: Arabidopsis thaliana (thale cress)
Lineage: Eukaryota; Viridiplantae; Streptophyta; Magnoliopsida; Brassicales; Brassicaceae
Source: RNAcentral
ACCGAUGGAUGGAAUGACUGGG